Molecule: ribosomal RNA, 253 nt
Filed under: uncultured bacterium
Lineage: Bacteria
Description: partial 16S ribosomal RNA
Rfam family: Bacterial small subunit ribosomal RNA
Source: RNAcentral
UACGGGGGGGGCAAGCGUUGUUCGGAAUUACUGGGCGUAAAGGGCGCGUAGGUGGCCAACUAAGUCAGACGUGAAAUCCCUCGGCUUAACCGGGGAACUGCGUCUGAUACUGGAUGGCUUGAGUUUGGGAGAGGGACGCGGAAUUCCAGGUGUAGCGGUGAAAUGCGUAGAUAUCUGGAGGAACACCGGUGGCGAAGGCGGCGUCCUGGACCAACACUGACACUGAUGAGCGAAAGCCAGGGGAGCAAACGGG